This 741-nucleotide ribosomal RNA is filed under the name uncultured bacterium. RNAcentral's name for it is "bacterial SSU rRNA". It matches the Rfam family "Bacterial small subunit ribosomal RNA", at positions 62 to 763 of the family's 1533-position model. The record is from RNAcentral.
UCGAGCGAGUCUGCCUUGAAGAUCGGAGUGCUUGCACUCUGUGAAACAAGAUACAGGCUAGCGGCGGACGGGUGAGUAGCACGUGGGUAACCUGCCCAAGAGAUCGGGAUAACACCUGGAAACAGAUGCUAAUACCGGAUAACAACAGAUGAUGCCUAUCAACUGUUUAAAAGAUGGUUCUGCUAUCACUCUUGGAUGGACCUGCGGUGCAUUAGCUAGUUGGUAGGGUAACGGCCUACCAAGGCGAUGAUGCAUAGCCGAGUUGAGAGACUGAUCGGCCACAUUGGGACUGAGACACGGCCCAAACUCCUACGGGAGGCAGCAGUAGGGAAUCUUCCACAAUGGACGCAAGUCUGAUGGAGCAACGCCGCGUGAGUGAAGAAGGGUUUCGGCUCGUAAAGCUCUGUUGUUGGUGAAGAAGGACAGGGGUAGUAACUGACCUUUGUUUGACGGUAAUCAAUUAGAAAGUCACGGCUAACUACGUGCCAGCAGCCGCGGUAAUACGUAGGUGGCAAGCGUUGUCCGGAUUUAUUGGGCGUAAAGCGAGUGCAGGCGGCUCGAUAAGUCUGAUGUGAAAGCCUUCGGCUCAACCGGAGAAUUGCAUCAGAAACUGUCGAGCUUGAGUACAGAAGAGGAGAGUGGAACUCCAUGUGUAGCGGUGAAAUGCGUAAAUAUAUGGAAGAACACCGGUGGCGAAGGCGGCUCUCUGGUCUGUUACUGACGCUGAGGCUCGAAAGCAUG